AUGAAGAACUUCAUCAAAACUCAAGUUCAGUCUUGCCUGACCUGCCAACAAGCUAAACCUGAAAGGGUGCAGUACCCUGGGCUCUUAUCACCUCUUCCAGUUCCCCCCAAAGCAUGGGAUACAGUAUCUAUGGAUUUCAUUUCAGGCCUUCCCUCCUCUUAUCAGUAUAACUGCAUAUUGGUGGUCAUUGACAAAUUUUCCAAGUAUGGUCACUUUAUGGGGCUCACACAUCCUUUUAAUGCCCAAAAAGUUGCUGAAAUCUUUCUGGACAAUGUAUAUAAGUUGCAUGGUAUGCCCAGGUUGAUAAUUUGUGAUAGAGAUCCCAUAUUCACAAGUGCCUUCUGGAAGUUUCUCAUUUCCAAUACUGGUGCUGAGUUAAACAUGAGCACAGCUUGUCACCCUGAGACUGACGGGCAGACUGAAAGAGUUAAUCAGCAGAUCGAGUGUUUUCUGAGGUGUUUUAUCAGCGCUCACCCUACCAAAUGGAGUAAAUGGCUCUCCCUAUGUGAGUUCUGGUACAACAAUAACUGGCAUUCUGCUUUGAAUAAAUCUCCCUUUGAAAUCAUUCAUGGCCAGACGCCUAGAUACUUUGGGAUUUCUGAGUCUGAUACAAUUGCUCCUGUGGACAUUCAGUUUUGGUUAGACUCACGUCAGUUGGUGAUCGACUCGGUCAGGCAACACUUGCUCCGUGUGCAACAGCGAAUGAAGCAUCAGGCAGAUAAGAAACGCACUGAACGAGAAUUUGCUGUGAAUGAUAUGGUGUUCCUCAAACUGCAGUCGUAUGUGCAAUCUUUAGUUGUCAGACGCGCCAAUCACAAGCUUUCCUUCAAGUUCUUUGGACCAUACAGGAUUGUGGAGAAGAUAGGUGAAGUGGCUUAUAAAUUGGAUCUUCCAACCUCAAGCCGCAUCCAUCCAGUGUUCCAUGUUUCACAGCUCAAGCGUUUCAUCCCUCCUGCCAUGACGGUUCAAAACCAGUUGACAUCUCCUGCA
This 990-nucleotide ribosomal RNA is filed under the name Triticum aestivum (bread wheat). RNAcentral's name for it is "partial small subunit ribosomal RNA". The record is from RNAcentral. Lineage: Eukaryota; Viridiplantae; Streptophyta; Magnoliopsida; Poales; Poaceae.